CCUACGGGAGGCAGCAGUGGGGAAUUUUCCGCAAUGGGCGAAAGCCUGACGGAGCAAUACCGCGUGAGGGAGGAAGGCUCUUGGGUUGUAAACCUCUUUUCUCAGGGAAGAUAAUGACGGUACCUGAGGAAUAAGCAUCGGCUAACUCCGUGCCAGCAGCCGCGGUAAUACGGAGGAUGCAAGCGUUAUCCGGAAUGAUUGGGCGUAAAGCGUCCGCAGGUGGUUUUGAAAGUCUGCUGUUAAAGCGUGCGGCUUAACCGCAUAAGGGCAGUGGAAACUAUGAGACUAGAGUGCGUUAGGGGCAGAGGGAAUUCCCAGUGUAGCGGUGAAAUGCGUAGAGAUUGGGAAGAACACCGGUGGCGAAGGCGCUCUGCUAUACCGUAACUGACACUGAGGGACGAAAGCUAGGGGGGCGAAUGGGAUUAGAUACCCCAGUAGUCCUAGCCGUAAACGAUGGAUACUAGGCGUUGUCUGUAUCGACCCGGACAGUGCCGUAGCUAACGCGUUAAGUAUCCCGCCUGGGGUAGUACGCGNGCGACUGUGAACUACAAGUAAGUAGUAGACGCGNGAGACGCGACGACGACGACGACGGAGGAGAG
This 599-nucleotide ribosomal RNA is filed under the name uncultured bacterium. RNAcentral's name for it is "bacterial SSU rRNA". The stretch from base 1 to 519 matches the Rfam family "Bacterial small subunit ribosomal RNA", at positions 338 to 873 of the family's 1533-position model. The record is from RNAcentral.